Long non-coding RNA from Salvelinus fontinalis (brook trout), 6570 nucleotides. RefSeq lists it as uncharacterized. The transcript has 3 exons. Lineage: Eukaryota; Metazoa; Chordata; Actinopteri; Salmoniformes; Salmonidae. The record is from RefSeq and is a predicted model, not a curated record.
AUUUAUUUAUACACUACACUUGAAACAAAUUGCCAAAACGAAAAUUGCAGACGUUACUAGUGCCUCCCUCGGCACAACACCGGAAUUGAUAUGAGAUGCCCUCAAAUUUUUUGCAUACAAGCAAUUCCAUGGUAAAGGAAUUGCGCUCAGACACCGAUGUUUCACUUAAAAGUGGAGAGAACAGCAAACAUGGAAAAGCCUGGCAUGCUUUCUCCUUUGACCGGUAAAGGCUGUGGAUCCGAAGGUAACCACCCUCGUUUCGGCACACCCCUUUGGCCUCUUCCCCAGAGCUGAGGAUCCAAAUCACGUUUGGCACGUUUGUUAAACACAUCUUUGUGUAUUUAAUUUUUUUAUAUUUUAUUGAUCUUUUGAGUUAUGUACAGUGUUGUUUUGAAUGAUGUACUGGGAGUGAAUUUUAGAGCAGAUGGUGUUAACUUGCGUAGGCCUGCCUGUGUUUUAUUUCAAAGCACAUUUUGGCACAACGCUGUUGAGUUUUGGCGGCAAGAGAGAAAUGCGACCAUUCGCACAAUCAUCCUAAAAUCUCAUAAAUGAGGUGGUGUUUUGUCUUACAGUAACGUUAUGCUAUUAUAAUUGGUUAUGUACAAUCCCAUAACUAUGUGAUCUUGCAGACAUUGCUUAAGCUUUGAUCUAACUUUGAUCUAACCGGGCCUUCACGACUGGACUACCGACGUUAUCUGCCCUAGGGAGUUAUCCAACUGGCCCCUCUUUCGCGAUGUAACCUGAACGCCCAUCUGCGGCCCGCUAAUCGUUAGCUGUCGUUAGCUGUUAUCGGCUGCUAUCUGAAUAGGUCUAUCGGACAAUUUUCUUGGGCCACAAUAACUAUAACUAUUUUGCCAGUUAGAUUGGUCCCCUCUACCACAUGGAACCCCACUAAUCUACCGACAGAAACGCACAAGGUGGGUAAAAACAGACCUCCAUCUUCUGCCAGUUUGCUACCCAUGGCCCGGCUAGCUGUCUGAAUCGCCGUGACCCCAACCAGCCUCACUACUCACUGGACCCUUAUGAUCACUCGGCUAAGCAUGCCUCUCCUUAAUGUCAAUAUGCCUUGUCCAUUGCUGUUCUGGUUAGUGUUCAUUGGCUUAUUUCACUGUAGAGCCUCUAGCCCUGUUCAUUAUACCUUAUCCAACCUUUCAGUUCCACCACCCACACAUGCGAUGACAUCACCUGGUUUCAAUUAUGUUUCUAGAGACAAUAUCUCUCUCAUCAUCACUCAAUGCCUAGGUUUACCUCCACUGUAUUAACAUCCUACCAUACCUUUGUCUGUACAUUAUACCUUGAAGCUAUUUUAUCGCCCCCAGAAACCUGCUCCUUUUACUCUCUGUUCCGGACGUCCUAGACGACCAAUUCUCAUAGCUUUUAGCCGUACCCUUAUCCUACUCCUCCUCUGUACAUCUGGUGAUGUAGAGGUGAAUCCAGGCAAUGCAGUGCCUAGCUCCACCCAUAUUCCCCGGGCGCUCUCUUGAUGACCUCUGUAACCGUAAUAGCCUUGGUUUCAUGCAUGUUAACAUUAGAAGCCUCCUCCCUAAGUUUGUUUUAUUCACUGCUUUAGCACACUCUGCCAACCCGGAUGUCCUAGCCUUGUCUGAAUCCUGGCUUAGGAAGACCACCAAAAACUCUGAAAUCUCCAUCCCUAACUACAACAUUUUCAGACAAGAUAGAACGGCCAAAGGGGGCGGUGUUGCAAUCUUCUGCAGAGUUAGUCUGCAGUGUUCUGUUCUACUAUCCAGGUCUGUACCCAAACAAUUUGAAUUUCUACUUUUAAAAAUCCACCUCUCUCAAAACAAGUCUCUCACCGUUGCCGCCUGCUAUAGACCACCCUUUGCCCCAGCUGUGCUCUGGACACCAUAUGUGAACUGAUUGCCCCCCAUCUAUCUUCAGAGCUCGUGCUGUUAGGUGACCUAAACUGGGACAUGCUUAACACCCCAGCCAUCCUACAAUCUAAGCUUGAUGCCCUCAAUCUCACACAAAUGAUCAAUGAACCUACUAGGUACCACCCCAAAGCCAUAAACACGGGCACCCUCAUAGAUAUCAUCCUAACCAACUUGCCCUCUAAAUACACCUCUUCUGUUUUCAACCAAAAUCUCAGCGAUCACUGCCUCAUUGCCUGCAUCCGUAAUGGGUCAGCGGUCAAACGACUUCCACUCAUCACUGUCAAACGCUCCCUGAAACACUUCAGCGAGCAGGCCUUUCUAAUCGACCUGGCCCGGGUAUCCUGGAAGGAUAUUGACCUCAUCCCAUCAGUAGAGGAUGCCUGGUUAUUUUUUUUAAAUACCUUCCUCACCAUCUUAAAUAAGCAUGCCCCAUUCAAGAAAUUUAGAACCAGGAACAGAUAUAGCCCUUGGUUCUCUCCAGACCUGACUGCCCUUAACCAACACAAAAACAUCCUGUGGCGUUCUGCAUUAGCAUCGAACAGCCCACGUGAUAUGCAACUUUUCAGGGAAGUUAGAAACCAAUAUACACAGGCAGUUAGAAAAGCUAAGGCUAGCUUUUUCAAGCAGAAAUUUGCUUCCUGCAACACAAACUCAAAAAGGUUCUGGGACACUAAAGUCCAUGGAGAAUAAGAACACCUCCUCCCAGCUGCCCACUUCACUGAGGAUAGGAAACUCUGUCACCACCGAUAAAUCCACUAUAAUUGAGAAUUUCAAUAAGCAUUUUUCUAUGGCUGGCCAUGCUUUCUACCUGGCUACACCUACCCCGGUCAACAGCCCUGCAAUCCCACAGCAACUCGCCCAAGCCUUCCCCAUUUCUCCUUUUCCCAAAUCCAGUCAGCUGAUGUUCUGAAAGAGCUGCAAAAUCUGGACCCCUACAAAUCAGCCGGGCUAGACAAUCUGGACCCUUUCUUUCGAAAAUGAUCUGUCAAAAUUGUUGCAACCCCUAUUUCUAGCCUGUUCAACCUCUCUUUCGUGUCGUCUGUGAUUCCCAAAGAUUGGAAAGCAGCUGCGGUCAUCCACCUCUUCAAAGGGGGGGACAUUCUUGACCCAAACUGCUACAGACAUAUCUAUCCUACCCUGCCUUUCUAAGGUCUUCGAACGCCAAGUCAACAAACAGAUUACCGACCAUUUUGAAUCCCACCGCACCUUCUCCGCUAUGCAAUCUGGUUUCAGAGCUGGUCAUGGGUGCACCUCAGCCACGCUCAAGGUCCUAAACUAUAUCUUAACUGCCAUCGAUAAGAAACAAUACUGUGCAGCCGUAUUCAUUGACCUGGCCAAGGCUUUCGACUCUGUCAAUCACCACAUCCUCAUCGGCAGACUCAAUAGCCUUGGUUUCUCAAAUGAUUGCCUCGCCUGGUUCACCAACUACUUCUCUGAUAGAGUUCAGUGUGUCAAAUCGGAGGGCCUGUUGUCCGGGCCUCUGGCAGUCUCUAUGGGGGUGCCACAGGGUUCAAUUCUUGGGCCGACUCUCUUCUCUGUAUACAUCAAUGAUGUCACUCUUGCUGCUGGUGAGUCUCUGAUCCACCUCUACGCAGACGACACCAUUCUGUAUACUUCUGGCCCUUCUUUUGGACACUGUGUUAACAACCCUCCAGACGAGCUUCAAUGCCAUACAACUCUCCUUCCGUGGCCUCCAACUGCUCUUAAAUACAAGUAAAACUAAAUGCAUGCUCUUCAACCGAUCGCUGCCUGCACCUGCCCGCCCGUCCAGCAUCACUACUCUGGACGGUUCUGACUUAGAAUAUGUGGACAACUACAAAUACCUAGGUGUCUGGUUAGACUGUAAACUCUCCUUCCAGACUCACAUCAAACAUCUCCAAUCCAAAGUUAAAUCUAGAAUUGGCUUCCUAUUUUGCAACAAAGCAUCCUUCACUCAUGCUGCCAAACAUACCCUUGUAAAACUGACCAUCCUACCGAUCCUCGACUUCGGCAAUGUCAUUUACAAAAUAGCCUCCAACACCCUACUCAAUAAAUUGGAUGCAGUCUAUCACAUCGCCAUCUGUUUUGUCACCAAAGCCCCAUAUACUACACACCACUGCGACCUGUACGCUCUCGUUGGCUGGCCCUCGCUUCAUACUCGUCGCCAAACCCACUGGCUCCAGGUCAUCUACAAGACCCUGCUAGGUAAAGUCCCCCCUUAUCUCAGCUCGCUGGUCACCAUAGCAGCACCCAUCUGUAGCACGCGCUCCAGCUCUCUGGUCACCCCCAAAGCCAAUUUCCUCCUCCUUCCAGUUCUCUGCUGCCAAUGACUGGAACGAACUACAAACAUCUCUGAAACUGGAAACACUUAUCUCCCUCACUAGCUUUAACCUCUCUAGGGUACGUGGGACGGUAGCAUCCCACCUCGUCAACAGCCAGUGAAACUGCAGGUCGACAAAUUCAAAACAACAGAAAUCCCAUAAUUAAAAUUCCUCAAACAUACAUGUAUUUUAAACCAUUUUAAAGAUACACUUGUUGUAAAUCCAGCCACAGUGUACGAUUUCAAAAAGGCUUUACGACGAAAGCAAACCAAACGAUUAUGUUUGGUGAGUGCCUAUUCACAGAAUAACAGCCAUUUUUCCAGCCAAAGAGAGGAUUCACAAAAAGCAGAAAUAUAGAUAAAAUUAAUCACUAACCUUUGAUGAUCUUCAUCAGAUGACACUCAUAGGACUAUAUGUUACACAAUACAUGCAUGUUUUGUUCGGUGAAGUUCAUAUUUAUAUCCAAAAUCUGAGUUUACAUUGACGCGUUACGUUCAGUAGUUCCAAAACAUCCAGUGAUUUUGCAGAGCCACAUCAAUUUACAGAAAUACUCAUUAUAAAUGUUGAUGAUAAUACAAGUGUUAUGCAUGGAACUUUAGAUGCACUUCUCCUUAAUGCAACCGCUGUGUCAGAUUUCAAAAAAGCUUUACGGAAAUAGCAAACCAUGCAAUAACCUGAGGUCGGUGCUCAGAGCCCAAUCAAGACAAAAAGAUAUCCGCCAUAUUGUGCAGUCAACAGAAGUCAGAGAUAACAUUAGAAACAUUCACUUACCUUUGAUGAUCUUCCUCAGAAUGCACUCCCAGGAAUCCCAGUUCGACAAUAAAUGUUUGUUUUGUUCGAUAAUGUCCAUAAUUUAUGUCCAAAUUCAUCCUUGUUGUUCUAGCGUUCAGUACACUUUCCAAACUCACGACGCGCGUGCAAGUCCAGCGGAAAGUACGUACGAAAAGUUUAAAAAGUUAUAUUACAGUCCGUAGAAACAUGACAAACGAAGUAUUGAAUCAAUCUUUAGGAUGUUUUUAACAUAAUUCUUCAAUAAUGUUCCAACCGGAGAAUUCCUUUGUCUUCAGAAGUGCGAUGGAACAGAGCUCGCUCUCACAUGAACGCGCAUGGUCAGCGCAUGUUCAGGUCAUGGUAGACCUUACUCAAUCCCCUCUCAUUCGGCCCCACUUCACAGUAGAAGCAUCAGACAAGGCUCUAAAGACUGUCGACAUCUAGUGGAAGCCUUAGGAAGUUCAACAUGACCAAUAUCCCACUGUAUCUUCAAUAGGGGCUGAGUUGAAAAUCGACCAACCUCAGAUUUCCCACCUCCUGGUUGGAUUUUUUCUCAGGUUGUUGCCUGCCAUAUGAGUUCUGUUAUACUCACAGACAUCAUUCAAACAGUUUUAGAAACUUCAGAGUGUUUUCUAUCCAACUCUACUAAUAAUAUGCAUAUUCUAGCUUUUAUGGCUGAGUAGCAGGCCGUUUACUCUGGGCACGCUUUUCAUCCGGACGUGAAAAUACUGCCCCCUACCCAAAAUAAGUUAAGCACCAGCUGUCAGAGCAGCUCACAGAUUACUGCACCUGUACAUAGCCCAUCUAUAAUUUAGCCCAAACAACUACCUCUUCCCCUACUGUAUUUAUUUAUUUUGCUCCUUUGCAUCCGAUUAUUUCUAUUUCUACUUGGCACAUUCUUCCACUGCAAAUCUACCAUUCCAGUGUUUUACUUGCUAUAUUGUAUUUACUUCACCACCAUGGCCUUUUUUUGCCUUUACCUCCCUUAUCUCACCUCAUUUGCUCACAUUGUAUAUAGACUUAUUUUUCUACUGUAUUAUUGACUGUAUGUUUGUUUUACUCCAUGUGUAACUCUGUGUUGUUGUAUGUGUCGAACUGCUUUGUUUUAUCUUGGCCAGGUCGCAAUUGUAAAUGAGAACUUGUUCUCAACUUGCCUACCUGGUUAAAUAAAGGCUAUAAAAUAGUCAUGACGUAUUCAGCCGUCUGUGUCCUAGCCUUGUAAAAAUGGCCUCAUCUGUCUCUUCCUCCCCUCCACGACUUUCCUCUUUACUUAGAAUAGAUGCCUGCCUUUAGCGUCUCUGUUCCACUACUCCAAAUCAUUCCCUUAGCCUCGCCCAUUGGCACCGCCACAUCCACUACCUCUCUAAGGGCCUGUUUAGCUAGCACAUAUACCUAAUUAUUCCCUUCCACCUCCAAUGGCAGGGGUAUUCAACUCUCACUCUACAAGGUCUGGAACCUGCUAGUUCUGUUCUACCUGAUAAUGAAUUGCACCCACCUGGUUUCCCAGGUCUACAUCUGUCCCUGAUUGAGGUCCAGAGUUGAGUUUGCGGGCCCUAUGGGUUGGGAUCCAAGCGAAACUCAUCUAAACACAGCACCCAUUUGUUUAA